AGAGUUUGAUCAUGGCUCAGGACGAACGCUGGCGGCGCGCCUAACACAUGCAAGUCGAACGGAGUUAAGAGGAGCUUGCUUUUCUUGACUUAGUGGCGAACGGGUGAGUAACGCGUGAGUAACCUGCCUCAGAGUGGGGGACAACAGUCGGAAACGACUGCUAAUACCGCAUAAGACCACGGGGUCGCAUGGCCCUGAGGUAAAAGGAUUUAUUCGCUUUGAGAUGGACUCGCGUCCAAUUAGCUAGUUGGUGAGGUAACGGCCCACCAAGGCGACGAUUGGUAGCCGGACUGAGAGGUUGAACGGCCACAUUGGGACUGAGACACGGCCCAGACUCCUACGGGAGGCAGCAGUGGGGGAUAUUGCACAAUGGGGGAAACCCUGAUGCAGCGACGCCGCGUGGAGGAAGAAGGUUUUCGGAUUGUAAACUCCUGUCGUAAGGGACGAUAAUGACGGUACCUUACAAGAAAGCCACGGCUAACUACGUGCCAGCAGCCGCGGUAAAACGUAGGUGGCAAGCGUUGUCCGGAAUUACUGGGUGUAAAGGGAGCGCAGGCGGACCGGCAAGUUGGAAGUGAAAACUAUGGGCUCAACCCAUAAACUGCUUUCAAAACUGCUGGCCUUGAGUAGUGCAGAGGUAGGCGGAAUUCCCGGUGUAGCGGUGGAAUGCGUAGAUAUCGGGAGGAACACCAGUGGCGAAGGCGGCCUACUGGGCACCAACUGACGCUGAGGCUCGAAAGUGUGGGUAGCAAACAGGAUUAGAUACCCUGGUAGUCCACACCGUAAACGAUGAUUAUUAGGUGUUGGAGGAUUGACCCCUUCAGUGCCGCAGUUAACACAAUAAGUAAUCCACCUGGGGA
RNAcentral lists this ribosomal RNA (860 nucleotides) under uncultured bacterium. RNAcentral describes it as "bacterial SSU rRNA". It matches the Rfam family "Bacterial small subunit ribosomal RNA", at positions 8 to 879 of the family's 1533-position model. The record is from RNAcentral.